RNAcentral lists this ribosomal RNA (496 nucleotides) under uncultured bacterium. RNAcentral describes it as "partial 16S ribosomal RNA". It matches the Rfam family "Bacterial small subunit ribosomal RNA", at positions 28 to 506 of the family's 1533-position model. The record is from RNAcentral.
GAUGAACGCUGGCGGCGUGCCUAAUACAUGCAAGUCGAGCGAACGGACGAGAAGCUUGCUUCUCUGAUGUUAGCGGCGGACGGGUGAGUAACACGUGGAUAACCUACCUAUAAGACUGGGAUAACUUCGGGAAACCGGAGCUAAUACCGGAUAAUAUUUUGAACCGCAUGGUUCAAAAGUGAAAGACGGUCUUGCUGUCACUUAUAGAUGGAUCCGCGCUGCAUUAGCUAGUUGGUAAGGUAACGGCUUACCAAGGCAACGAUGCAUAGCCGACCUGAGAGGGUGAUCGGCCACACGGGAACUGAGACACGGUCCAGACUCCUACGGGAGGCAGCAGUAGGGAAUCUUCCGCAAUGGGCGAAAGCCUGACGGAGCAACGCCGCGGGAGUGAUGAAGGUCUUCGGAUCGUAAAACUCUGUUAUUAGGGAAGAACAUAUGUGUAAGUAACUGUGCACAUCUUGACGGUACCUAAUCAGAAAGCCACGGCUAACUACGU